Molecule: ribosomal RNA, 253 nt
Filed under: uncultured bacterium
Lineage: Bacteria
Description: partial 16S ribosomal RNA
Rfam family: Bacterial small subunit ribosomal RNA
Source: RNAcentral
GACGUAGGAGGCGAGCGUUGUCCGGAUUUACUGGGCGUAAAGCGCGCGCAGGCGGUCCCCCAGGUCAUCUGUCAAAGCACCCGGCUCAACCGGGUUGUCGCGGGUGAAACCGGGGGACUUGAGGGCGGUAGAGGGUGGUGGAAUUCCCGGUGUAGUGGUGAAAUGCGUAGAGAUCGGGAGGAACACCCGUAGCGAAGGCGGCCACCUGGGCCGACCCUGACGCUGAGGCGCGAAGGCCAGGGGAGCGAACGGG